RNAcentral lists this transfer RNA (72 nucleotides) under Ovis aries (sheep). It matches the Rfam family "tRNA". From Rfam's summary of the family: Transfer RNA (tRNA) molecules are approximately 80 nucleotides in length. Lineage: Eukaryota; Metazoa; Chordata; Mammalia; Artiodactyla; Bovidae. The record is from Rfam by way of RNAcentral.
UUCCAGGUGUCUAAGUAGGUAAAGAAUCUGCCUGAAAUGCAGGAGACCCAGGUUUGAUCUCUGGGUUGGGAG